Long non-coding RNA from Perognathus longimembris pacificus (Pacific pocket mouse), 859 nucleotides. RefSeq lists it as uncharacterized. Lineage: Eukaryota; Metazoa; Chordata; Mammalia; Rodentia; Heteromyidae. The record is from RefSeq and is a predicted model, not a curated record. The transcript has 3 exons.
AUCUGAGGAUCCAGGGGGGAGGAGAAAGGGGAGAAGGGGAGGGGAGGAAGAAGGAGAGAAAGGUUAAAUAAAAUGAAGAACUCAUUGGGAAAGUUAUGAGAAGCAAAGUUUUGUGGGAAUUCAUAUAAGGUAGAGGUAAUCUUUAGUUGUGAGACCAAAGAGUAUGGCAGCUGGUUCUUAAAGAAAGAUGGAAAUUAUUUUAUAAAGAAAGCCCUGCCCUGUUCCCACAUAAUGGCAAAUUCCCAUCAGGGCACAAGGCAGGGCACAAAGACACCGGUGAGGGGAUAGAACCAGUGAUGGCCUGGACCUCAGUCGUAACUAUAAAUGAGGGUAGAGGGAUUUAUUUUGGGACACUUUCUAGUAGGUAGAACUGUAAGGUUGGUUGACAGAUUACAAAUAAGAUAGGGGAGAUAGGAAGUUAAGAGUUGAGCCCCACCAUCGGGAAAAGCCAGGUGCCUUCAUAGAAAUAAAGUAGCUGAAGUCUGGCUUCGGAUGCUUCACAUGUAACUCACCCAUUAGUUAAGUGGUCAAGGCACUUGUCCUUCUGGGUCUAGAGCUCAAAAGAGAAGUUCUGGCUGGAGACUCAGAAUAUAUUGUCAGAAUGUACAGUCUUCAAAGAGAUCACCUGGAAUGAGUUUAGAUGGGUGUCCAGGACAAAACCUUGGACACUCCAUUGAAGAGAAGGAAGCAAUAAAGGAAGAGUCACAGAGAGCUGAGAGAAGCAAGGGAGAGGAGGAACUGAGAAGUCAAGCCAAAGGAAGUAUGAUGAGAAAGAAAGUCCAAUGGGCUGGAUGCUAGUGGCUCACCCCUCUAAUUCUAGCUAUUCAGGAAGCUGAGAGCUGAUGAUCACAGUUUGAAA